This 441-nucleotide ribosomal RNA is filed under the name uncultured bacterium. RNAcentral describes it as "partial 16S ribosomal RNA". It matches the Rfam family "Bacterial small subunit ribosomal RNA", at positions 338 to 795 of the family's 1533-position model. The record is from RNAcentral.
CCUACGGGUGGCAGCAGUGGGGAAUAUUGCACAAUGGGGGAAACCCUGAUGCAGCGACGCCGCGUGAGCGAGGAAGUCUUUCGGUAUGUAAAGCUCUAUCAGCAGGGACGAAAAACGACGUUACCUGACUACGUAGCCCCGGCUAACUACGUGCCAGCAGCCUCGGUCAUACGUAGGGGGCAAGCUUUAUCCGGAUUUACUGGGUGUAAAGGGAGCGUAGACGGCAAGGCAAGCCAGAAGUGAAAGGGCAGGGCUCAACCCUGUACAUGCUUGUGGAACUGGGGUGCUAGAGUGCAGGGGAGGUAAGUGGAAUUCGUAGUGUAGCGGUGAAAUGCGUAGAUAUGAGGAGGAACACCAGUGGCGAAGGCGGCUUACUGGAGUGGAACUGACGUUGAGGCUCGAAAGCGUGGGGAGCAAACAGGAUUAGAUACCCGUGUAGUC